AAAAAAUUAGUUAAUACUUAUAACUUUAGUUUGUCAAACUAAGAUUAUCAUUCUUUUUGAUAUUUUUUA
RNAcentral lists this transfer RNA (69 nucleotides) under Heleodromia immaculata. RNAcentral describes it as "tRNA-Asp". Lineage: Eukaryota; Metazoa; Arthropoda; Insecta; Diptera; Empididae. The record is from RNAcentral.